AGAGUGUUGUCGCUAAGUGCGC
This 22-nucleotide non-coding RNA is filed under the name Arabidopsis thaliana (thale cress). Lineage: Eukaryota; Viridiplantae; Streptophyta; Magnoliopsida; Brassicales; Brassicaceae. The record is from RNAcentral.